GUUCCUGGGAACAUUCAGAAGAAAGCAGGACUAUGAUCUUUAAUUAUAAACAUUGCUGGAUCUUUGGAGUGAUCUUUAGCGUUUUGUAAAUUUUGGUGAUAUCACAGCAGUUCCAGCAUCGAUCAUCAUCUGAGCAGAGGUCUAAUCAGCUAAACUAGCUAAACUAAUCAACUAAACGCAAUAGCAAACACCAGUGACACAACUGCAACAAAGAGAGACACAUCUUACAAUAAUGAAACACAGCUUGAGGUGUCUCAUUUUGUUUAUCAAAGACCAUGAGGAUGGAAAAAAAAUAAAAUGAAUUUUGUUUUAUGUGGGAAGUAUCAUGUGGUCUAAAUUGUUAAAAUAUGCCAGUAGUUUAACUUAUAUUAGUAACAUGCACUUAAUGUUGUAGUAGUGUCAACGAAUAACUAAAAAAUACAAAUAAUUG
Long non-coding RNA from Larimichthys crocea (large yellow croaker), 430 nucleotides. RefSeq lists it as uncharacterized. The record is from RefSeq and is a predicted model, not a curated record. The transcript has 3 exons. NCBI's taxonomy places the organism in Eukaryota, Metazoa, Chordata, Actinopteri, Sciaenidae.